This 381-nucleotide ribosomal RNA is filed under the name uncultured bacterium. RNAcentral's name for it is "bacterial SSU rRNA". It matches the Rfam family "Bacterial small subunit ribosomal RNA", at positions 27 to 412 of the family's 1533-position model. The record is from RNAcentral.
GGACGAACGCUGGCGGCGUGCUUAACACAUGCAAGUCGAGCGGUAAGGCCCUUUCGGGGUACACGAGCGGCGAACGGGUGAGUAACACGUGGGUGACCUGCCCUCAGCUCUGGGAUAAGCCUGGGAAACUGGGUCUAAUACUGGAUAUGACUCCACGGUGCAUGUCGUGGGGUGAAAGCCUUGUGCGGCUGAGGAUGGGCCCGCGGCCUAUCAGCUUGUUGGUGGGGGAUGGCCUACCAAGGCGACGACGGGUAGCCGGCCUGAGAGGGCGACCGGCCACACUGGGACUGAGACACGGCCCAGACUCCUACGGGAGGCAGCAGUGGGGAAUCUUGCGCAAUGGGCGAAAGCCUGACGCAGCGACGCCGCGUGAGGGAUGAC